UACGUAGGGGGCAAGCGUUGUCCGGAUUCAUUGGGCGUAAAGAGCGUGUAGGCGGCCAGGUAGGUCGGUUGUGAAAACUGGAGGCUCAACCUUCAGAGGUCGACCGAAACCAUCUGGCUAGAGUCCGGGAGAGGAGAGUGGAAUUCCUGGUGUAGCGGUGAAAUGCGCAGAUAUCGUAAGGAAGACCAGUGGCGAAGGCGGGUCUCUGGACAGUUCCUGACGCUGAGGCACGAAGGUCAGGGGAGCAAACGGG
This 253-nucleotide ribosomal RNA is filed under the name uncultured bacterium. RNAcentral describes it as "partial 16S ribosomal RNA". It matches the Rfam family "Bacterial small subunit ribosomal RNA", at positions 524 to 776 of the family's 1533-position model. The record is from RNAcentral.